This 255-nucleotide ribosomal RNA is filed under the name uncultured bacterium. Its description in RNAcentral is "partial 16S ribosomal RNA". It matches the Rfam family "Bacterial small subunit ribosomal RNA", at positions 96 to 353 of the family's 1533-position model. The record is from RNAcentral.
UGGCGGACGGGUGAGUAAUGUCUGGGAAACUGCCUGAUGAGGGGGAUAACUACUGGAAACGGUAGCUAAUACCGCAUAACGUCGCAAGACCAAAGAGGGGGACCUUCGGGCCUCUUGCCAUCGGAUGUGCCCAGAUGGGAUUAGCUAGUAGGUGGGGUAACGGCUCACCUAGGCGACGACCCCUAGCUGGUCUGAGAGGAUGACCAGCCACACUGGAACUGAGACACGGUCCAGACUCCUACGGGAGGCAGCAUG